UACGGAGGUUCCAAGCGUUGUUCGGAAUUACUGGGCGUAAAGGGAGCGCAGGCGGGCAAGUCAGUCUGAAGUGAAAUCCCGGGGCUCAACCUCGGACUUGCUUCGGAUACUGCUUGUCUUGAGUUCGUGAUAGGAAGACGGAAUUCAGGGUGUAGCGGUGAAAUGCACAGAUAUCCUGAGGAACACCGGUGGCGAAAGCGGUCUUCUGGCGCGAAACUGACGCUGAGGCUCGAAAGCGUGGGUAGCAAACGGG
Molecule: ribosomal RNA, 253 nt
Filed under: uncultured bacterium
Lineage: Bacteria
Description: partial 16S ribosomal RNA
Rfam family: Bacterial small subunit ribosomal RNA
Source: RNAcentral